RNAcentral lists this non-coding RNA (201 nucleotides) under Clostridium oryzae. RNAcentral describes it as "T-box sequence". It matches the Rfam family "T-box leader". From Rfam's summary of the family: Uncharged tRNA acts as the effector for transcription antitermination of genes in the T-box leader family. T-boxes are found upstream of many aminoacyl-tRNA synthetase genes and some amino acid biosynthetic genes usually in Gram-positive bacteria. The anticodon of a specific tRNA base pairs to a specifier sequence within the T-box motif, and the NCCA acceptor tail of the tRNA base pairs to a conserved bulge in the T-box antiterminator hairpin. Lineage: Bacteria; Bacillati; Bacillota; Clostridia; Eubacteriales; Clostridiaceae. The record is from RNAcentral.
ACAAGAACUAUGAUAAGGAAGAGUAAUAAGCAUUAAAACUUUAAAAGAGAGUGGGGUAAGGUGAAAGCCCAUGGGUCAUAUGUUUAUGAAAAUCACCUUUGAGUCGCAGGUCGAACUAAAGUAGACUGUGCCGGGAUUAUAUCCGUUAAAGCUAUGAGUUAGAAAUUUGGGUGGUACCGCGAGUAGACUUUCGCCCCAGUG